This 435-nucleotide ribosomal RNA is filed under the name uncultured bacterium. RNAcentral describes it as "bacterial SSU rRNA". It matches the Rfam family "Bacterial small subunit ribosomal RNA", at positions 29 to 429 of the family's 1533-position model. The record is from RNAcentral.
AUUGAACGCUGGCGGCAUGCUUUACACAUGCAAGUCGAACGGCAGCACAGCAGAGGUAACUCUGUGGGUGGCGAGUGGCGAACGGGUGAGUAAUACAUCGGAACGUACCCUGUUGUGGGGGAUAACUACGCGAAAGCGUAGCUAAUACCGCAUACGCCCUGAGGGGGAAAGCGGGGGACCCUAAAUAGAGCGCACUGGGGAGUGCGUUGUAUUUAGGGCCUCGCGCAAUAGGAGCGGCCGAUGUCGGAUUAGCUAGUUGGUGAGGUAAAGGCUUACCAAGGCGACGAUCCGUAGCUGGUCUGAGAGGAUGAUCAGCCACACUGGGACUGAGACACGGCCCAGACUCCUACGGGAGGCAGCAGUGGGGAAUUUUGGACAAUGGGGGCAACCCUGAUCCAGCCAUGCCGCGUGAGUGAAGAGGGCCUCGGUUGUAAG